GUAUAGCAAUAGCUAGUUGCAUCAUAGUAGAUAUGAUGCAAGAUCGACUAUGUUGAAUAAAAUUCUAGGUAGAAUUAUGAUAAUGACAUUGUCUGCCUAUGUGUCUUGACCAAAUUACGUGCCAGCAGUCGCGGUAAUACGUAGAAGACUAGUGUUAUUCAUGUUUAAUCGGUUUAAAGGGUACCUAGACGGUAGAUCAAGCUUUCUAAUAAAGGAAAAGGACUAGUUUACUAGAGUUACUUAUGAGGGGGUAUUAAAGUACUGCUGGUGUAGAGAUGAAAUUCUGUCAUACCUCUUUUCAAAAGAAAAACCAUGGCACAGGUAUAGGCGAAGGCAUCCCCUUAUGUGAUAACUGACGUUGAGGGACGAAGGCUUUGUGUAGCGAACAGGAUUAGAUACCCCAGUAGUCGAAGCAGAAAAUGAUGAAUGUCAUAGAUUAGAUAUAUAAGUUUAUUCUAUAAAUGAAAGUGUAAGCAUUCCACCUCAUGAGUAAUUUGGCAACAUUGGAACUGAAAUCAUUAGACCGUUUCUGAAACCAGUAGUGAAGUAUGUUGUUUAAUUUGAUGUCCCGCAAAAAACCUUACCACAAUUUGAAUAUUUAUAUUGUUUAUUGUUUUAUUAUUAAUUUUCUUGAAGAAAAUUAAGAAAGAAGCAAUAAGAUAUAUUUACAAGCGUUGCACGGCUGUCUUCAGUUAAUGUCGCGAGACUUUGGUUAGUUCCAUUAAAUUAACGUAAACCCUUACUUUAUUUUUAUAUAGAGUAGUUCCCCGCUAUA
This 775-nucleotide ribosomal RNA is filed under the name Xanthoparmelia tuckeriana. RNAcentral describes it as "SSU rRNA". It matches the Rfam family "Bacterial small subunit ribosomal RNA", at positions 370 to 1160 of the family's 1533-position model. Lineage: Eukaryota; Fungi; Ascomycota; Lecanoromycetes; Lecanorales; Parmeliaceae. The record is from RNAcentral.